UGGUAUAAUAGAUAAAGUUUCGGCGGUAAAAGAUGGUCAUGCGUGACAUUAGAUAGUUGGUGAGGUAACGGCUCACCAAGUCGACGAUGUCUAGGGGUUCUGAGAGGAAGGUCCCCCACACUGGUACUGAGACACGGACCAGACUCCUACGGGAGGCAGCAGUGAGGAAUAUUGGUCAAUGGACGCAAGUCUGAACCAGCCAUGUCGCGUGAAGGAAGACGGUUCUAUGGAUUGUAAACUUCUUUUAUACGGGAAGAAACGUAUCUACGAGUAGAUAUUUCCGGUACCGUAUGAAUAAGCACCGGCUAACUCCGUGCCAGCAGCCGCGGUAAUACGGAGGGUGCGAGCGUUAUCCGGAUUUAUUGGGUUUAAAGGGUGCGUAGGCGGAAUAAUAAGUCAGUGGUGAAAUCUUGCAGCUUAACUGUAAAACUGCCAUUGAUACUGUUAUUCUUGAAUUUAGUUGAGGUAGGCGGAAUGUGUUGUGUAGCGGUGAAAUGCAUAGAUAUAACACAGAACACCGAUUGCGAAGGCAGCUUACUAAGCUAUAAUUGACGCUGAUGCACGAAAGCGUGGGUAGCGAACAGGAUUAGAUACCCUGGUAGUCCACGCCGUAAACGAUGAUUACUCGUUGUUGGCAAUACAUGGUCAGCGACUGAGCGAAAGCAUUAAGUAAUCCACCUGGGGAGUACGUUGGCAACAAUGAAACUCAAAGGAAUUGACGGGGGCCCGCACAAGCGGAGGAACAUGUGGUUUAAUUCGAUGAUACGCGAGGAACCUUACCUGGACUUAAAUGUAGAUUGACAGGCUUAGAGAUAGGCUUUUCUUCGGACAAUUUACAAGGUGCUGCAUGGUUGUCGUCAGCUCGUGCCGUGAGGUGUCGGGUUAAGUCCCAUAACGAGCGCAACCCCUAUCUUUAGUUACCAGCAUGUAGUGGUGGGGACUCUAAAGAGACUGCCGGUGUAAACCGUGAGGAAGGUGGGGAUGACGUCAAAUCAGCACGGCCCUUACGUCCAGGGCUACACACGUGUUACAAUGGUCGGUACAAAGGGCAGCUACCUAGCGAUAGGGUGCUAAUCUCUAAAACCGAUCUCAGUUCGGAUCGGAGUCUGCAACUCGACUCCGUGAAGCUGGAUUCGCUAGUAAUCGCAUAUCAGCCAUGAUGCGGUGAAUACGUUCCCGGGCCUUGUACACACCGCCCGUCAAACCAUGGAAGUUGGGGG
RNAcentral lists this ribosomal RNA (1220 nucleotides) under metagenome. RNAcentral describes it as "bacterial SSU rRNA". It matches the Rfam family "Bacterial small subunit ribosomal RNA", at positions 190 to 1417 of the family's 1533-position model. The record is from RNAcentral.